This is a non-coding RNA of Camellia sinensis, 471 nucleotides long. The record is from RefSeq and is a predicted model, not a curated record. Lineage: Eukaryota; Viridiplantae; Streptophyta; Magnoliopsida; Ericales; Theaceae.
UUGCAGCUAGUGGUGUUCCGCUACCAGCUCCAGGUCCAGUUCAAUUUGGUCCGACUAGCUCACCUCUUUCACCUGAUGCUUCUGCUCCUUUUAGUCCCACAGCUUCAAAAGCAGCAGAAAUGGCUUCACCACCAGUUGAUGAUACAACAACACCAGCAUCUCCGCCGGUGAGUUUGGUAGCUCCAAAAGCAACACCUGGUAUUCGACCAGUCGUGACUCCAACCUCAAUCUCAGCUUCUAAUCCAUCCUACAUCCCCUCACCAUUUGUCCUGCUUGUAUUCAUCGGAAUCAUACAUGGUUUUUAAGUGCUAUUAAUUUUUCUCUUGAUAAUAAAAAUAAAAAAAGCGUCAUCUUAUGCUUCUUUGUGUUUUUCUGCUCAUGCGUUCGGGUUGAGUUUUGCUGCUAUCAGUAAAUAUGUAGUCAUGUCCUUUCAUUCUAAUUUAUGCCAUUUUUUAUUCUAUUUUAGAAAAA